Small nucleolar RNA from Lathyrus oleraceus (garden pea), 81 nucleotides. RefSeq annotates it as small nucleolar RNA U31b. The record is from RefSeq and is a predicted model, not a curated record. Lineage: Eukaryota; Viridiplantae; Streptophyta; Magnoliopsida; Fabales; Fabaceae. The transcript has a single exon.
GGAUGUGAUGAUAGUAAUUGUCGCCCCAGUCUUAAUUUGCACUCUAAGGUGUAACAUGGUGACUGACUUCUUAUCUGAUCC